UUGCACGCUGGCGGCAUGCUUUACCCCUGCAAGUCGCACGGUAACAGGCCUUCGGGUGCUGACGAGUGGCGAACGGGUGAGUAAUGCAUCGGAACGUGCCCAGAGGUGGGGGAUAACGCAGCGAAAGCUGUGCUAAUACCGCAUGUGAUCUGAGGAUGAAAGCGGGGGACCAAGCAGCAAUGUUUGGCCUCGCGCCUCUGGAGCGGCCGAUGUCAGAUUAGGUAGUUGGUGGGGUAAAGGCCUACCAAGCCGACGAUCUGUAGCUGGUCUGAGAGGACGACCAGCCACACUGGGACUGAGACACGGCCCAGACUCCUACGGGAGGCAGCAGUGGGGAAUUUUGGACAAUGGGCGCAAGCCUGAUCCAGCAAUGCCGCGUGCGGGAAGAAGGCCUUCGGGUUGUAAACCGCUUUUGUACGGAACGAAAAGGCUCUGGCUAAUACCUGGGGCUGAUGACGGUACCGGAAGAAUAAGCACCGGCUAACUACGUG
RNAcentral lists this ribosomal RNA (491 nucleotides) under uncultured bacterium. Its description in RNAcentral is "partial 16S ribosomal RNA". It matches the Rfam family "Bacterial small subunit ribosomal RNA", at positions 30 to 507 of the family's 1533-position model. The record is from RNAcentral.